This 854-nucleotide long non-coding RNA is filed under the name Zea mays. RNAcentral describes it as "drought responsive lncRNA". Lineage: Eukaryota; Viridiplantae; Streptophyta; Magnoliopsida; Poales; Poaceae. The record is from RNAcentral.
GCGGACGGCGGGAUUCGACGGCUGGGAGAGGGACGUGCCACCAUGGGCGAGCGCCAGGGAACUUAAAGGCCGAGCGAACGCGGGGAAAACAACAUCGUGGGGAAGAACCGCGCAGCGGGUCGAACAGGGGCUGAGCACCAGCAGGGACCGAGCAGGGAGAUUGGGCGACCGUGAAGCUGUACGUCGGCCAUGGGAAGCGGCAGAGGAAGUCGCCAUGUGAAGGAGGCCCAGCUACAGGAGCAAGGGAGAGGAGUCACGGCGCCAUGGGAGAGGACAGGAGCAGAGACGGGGUGGGCGCGUCCACGGCUGCUCUAGGCUCUCGCGAGGCCCCAAUUGUGCCAGACUUCAGCGCGGCCAGGGAGAUGAGCAGUCUGCGGCUUGGGGGAGUACGCCGACCACCAGGAAGCAGGAAACGUCGCCAUGGAUAGCAGGGGUGGCGGCGAACUUGAGGGAGAUGGGGACAGUCGGGGAGCAGGGAGAAGACAUCGAGAGGAGGGAGAUGAGGGAGCUCCGGCCAUGGAGAUGAGGAGAGAGAGAGGAACGCCGACCUGGGCAGGGGAGAGCACGGUGGCUACAGCCGAGCAGGCAAGCUGCGCGCUGUACCAGGGAGCAGGGGUGUCGCGGCCAUGGGGAGAGAGAAGCUAGAGGAGGAUCUUGGAGAGGGAGAGUCGCGGGAGUUGAGGGAGAAGGAGAGGGCUUAGGCGCGCGGUGAACCAGGCGAGCGCUGGGAGGAAGAAGCUCCACGGCGUGGACGCCAGGGCGAGUAGAGGAAGAAGGGGACGCGAUGUUGGGAGGAACUCGGCCAGAGCGCUGAGGUGAGCUCGGCCAUGGCGACGAGGACAGAGGGAGCGUCG